AGGGGUGUAGCUCAGUUGGUAGAGCACCGGUCUCCAAAACCGGGGGUCGUAGGUUCGAGCCCUACCGCCCCUGCCA
RNAcentral lists this transfer RNA (76 nucleotides) under Pseudolabrys sp. RNAcentral's name for it is "tRNA-Trp". It matches the Rfam family "tRNA". Rfam says of the family: Transfer RNA (tRNA) molecules are approximately 80 nucleotides in length. Their secondary structure includes four short double-helical elements and three loops (D, anti-codon, and T loops). The record is from RNAcentral. Lineage: Bacteria; Pseudomonadati; Pseudomonadota; Alphaproteobacteria; Hyphomicrobiales; Xanthobacteraceae.